This 414-nucleotide long non-coding RNA is filed under the name Coffea arabica (coffee). RNAcentral describes it as "long non-coding RNA (CARA_LNC006855)". Lineage: Eukaryota; Viridiplantae; Streptophyta; Magnoliopsida; Gentianales; Rubiaceae. The record is from RNAcentral.
UUCUAUCUUGCCCUCAUCUCUUCUUUCUUUCCUCCUAUUGCAGGUGGGUCUCAGAGUUUUCUUCAGUUUCUAUAGUGGUCUGCUCCGACAAGCAAUUAACCCGAAGCAACAAUAAUCUCUGAGCGCAACCACUCUUCAUUCGAUGAAUACAAGUCAGAUACUUGAAAGAGAGAGAGAGACAGGUAUAGGGCGAGCACCUUAGAUUGGUGGAGGAAACGUGUAGAAAUGGAAUGAGGAGGCGAAGGGAAGAGUUCGGCAUGUUACAAACAAGAGAUAGAGAUCAACAUCAAAAGCUUUCCAGGAUACUUAUUGACCAUUGACAGGAACAUAUAUACAAACUUUGGAUUCGAAAGAACCAACACCAACCAGGUCAGAUUUGAUCUUCAGCAGCAAGGUGUUCAGACUAGAAAGCAA